GCUCUGAUCCUUUGACCUGCAACAGGCUGUUGCCAUGCUGGAACAAGCAGACUUUUUGCCUGCUGUCACGCCUCAGGCGGACAUGGACUCCAUUUCCCAGACUGCUUCGGGAAACCACAUGACUCUGGACAAAUAGCCCGAGUCAUUACCAGCGCUCACAGUCCCCUGAUUAUUGAGUAAACACACCUGUGUAGGUUGACCUGCAUAUUUAGUAUUUAAGGUGGUUUUGGAUGUCAACCUUUGCAUGUUCUUGAUCAUCCUCUUUGCUGCCUAUGAUAUUAAACUUUGUUUGCCUAUUCA
Pygocentrus nattereri (red-bellied piranha) is the source of this 300-nucleotide long non-coding RNA. RefSeq lists it as uncharacterized. Lineage: Eukaryota; Metazoa; Chordata; Actinopteri; Characiformes; Serrasalmidae. The record is from RefSeq and is a predicted model, not a curated record. The transcript is spliced from 2 exons.